UACAGAGGUCCCAAGCGUUGUUCGGAUUCACUGGGCGUAAAGGGUGCGUAGGUGGCAGGGUAAGUUUGAUGUGAAAUCUCCGGGCUUAACCCGGAAACUGCAUUGAAUACUAUCUUGCUUGAGGUUUGGAGGGGGGACUGGAAUUCUCGGUGUAGCAGUGAAAUGCGUAGAUAUCGAGAGGAACACCAGUGGCGAAGGCGAGUCUCUGGACGACUCCUGACACUGAGGCACGAAAGCUAGGGGGGCAAACAGG
RNAcentral lists this ribosomal RNA (253 nucleotides) under uncultured bacterium. RNAcentral describes it as "partial 16S ribosomal RNA". It matches the Rfam family "Bacterial small subunit ribosomal RNA", at positions 524 to 776 of the family's 1533-position model. The record is from RNAcentral.